AGCAUUUCAGCCUUCACACAGGAGCGCACAGGCGUGCGGGCGUCCGCGGGAGCGCACUGACUGCUGAGGGAGGGAUGGACGCCUCUGCACCGCGCCAGAGGACCGCUGGGGUUUGUUGGGUGGGAGAGGUAGAGGCUGAGGGCGUGAGGAGGUGGUGGAGGAGGAGGACGGUAGAGUCAGUUUCGAUUUAAUUCCUCAACCGGCUGCUUUUACGCAGGGUGAGGUACAGUAGUCCGCCGCCUGGCAGUAUAAUCCGCUUGCCGGGAGGAGCAGGGAAAGCCCUCUCCAGACUGAGGCAGAGAGGGAGGGAGAGGUUCAAGUCGGACAGGGACAGAGAGAGUUGACAGGAGUGCUCGGUCCGGCUGCUGAUACACACUCUGAGGACCAGGCAAGCUGUUUGAAUCCCUCUGCACAUCAUGAGUGGACCGACAAACGUUCAGUACCAGUCAGGUCUUUAUGGCGGAAACAACAACAGCAGCUCCCCUCUCUCCAGCCGUGGAAAUUCGCCCAUCAUUUGUGAGCGCUGUGGGGAAGUGUGUCGCGGGGAGGUGGUGCGCGUCAAAAACACUCAUUUCCAUGUUCACUGCUUCACCUGCCAAGUAUGUGGCUGUGAUCUGGUGCACUCGGGUUUCUUCCACCACUCAGGUGAGUAUAUCUGUACAGAGGACUACCAGCGGCUCUACGGGACCCAGUGUGACAGCUGUGACCAGUACAUCACUGGGGAGGUGGUAUCUGCCUUGGGGAGGACAUACCAUCCACAUUGCUUCGUCUGCAGCAUCUGCAGGGGUCCGUUCCCAAUUGGAGACAGGGUGACCUUCUGUGGGAAGAAGUGUGUGUGUCAGCAGUGUUCACACACUCUGAAAAGCGACAAGCCCGUCAAGGUCCACGGGCCAAGCUACUGCGCAGGCUGCGGCGAGGAGAUCAAACAGGGUCAGUCUCUGCUCGCUCUGGAGAGACAGUGGCACGUCAGUUGCUUUAAAUGCAGAACGUGCGGCUGUGCGCUCACUGGAGAGUACAUCAGCAAGGAUGGGAUUCCUUACUGCGAGACUGACUACCACACUCAGUUUGGGAUCAGGUGUGACAGCUGUAACAGGUACAUCAGCGGCAGAGUACUUGAGGCUGGUGGGAAGCGCUACCACCCCAGCUGUGCCAGGUGUGCUCGCUGUCACAUGAUGUUCCUGGAAGGAGAGGAAAUGUACCUCACAGGUUCAGAGGUUUGGCACCCCAUGUGUAAAGAAGCAGCUCGGCUGGAGAGAAAACUGAGGCUGAGACGGACCUCUGAGACGGCGUCCAUUUCUCCUCCAGGCUCCUCUCCUCUCCUCGGCUCCCCUCACCGGCUCAUCUGUUCUAAAGCUGACGGUGAUUUGGACUAUAAGCAGCUGGCGGCUCUGCCCCGGGUCAAAGCCAUAUACGACAUCCAGAGGCCUGACAUCAUCCCUUAUCAGGCCGACCAUGCACACACACACCUCUCAGAUGACACUCUGGAGCGAUACAGCUGUGGACAGGAUCUCUUGGACGGUGUGGAGCUUAGAACGAGGCGUUCCUCCAGCUCUGCCUUCACUGACUCUCCUGCACACAGUCGCCACGGAGGCUCCCCACUGCAUUAUUAUCUCCCUGGCAGUGAGAGUGGCAGGAGUUCACCCUAUUACAGUCAGCCAGAGCCCAGGUGUGCCACACCCACCACCACCGCCACCUUCCAAGCCCCCAAGCAUUUCCAUGUGCCAGCUUCUGAGGAAACCAACAUCUACAGGAAACCCCCCAUCUAUAAAAGACAAGACAUAUCUGCCUCUCCGACAGUCAAUAAGAGUAAGACCAAUGAGAACCUUCUCAAUUCAAGUCGCCUUUCCACCUCCAACUGCAACAGCAUUUAUCACCCAGAUUCAAACUACUACCCAUAUACAGGCUCUCCUAAAGUCUCCAGGGUGAGGAGGUUUUCAUCCGGAGGAGAGGAGGAUGGAUGGAAUCACAAUAUAAACAAGGGAAUUGGCAGGAUGAUCCUGAAGGAGGAGAUGAAGGCGCGGUCAGGUUGUCACGACAAUGACCAGUGGGGGAGCAGACGCAGUUCCCGCUGUAGCAGCAAGGAGGCGCUAAACAAUCUGGGAUAUGGCUCUCUCAAUGGCUCUCCCAGGUCCGUCUACAGCGCAGACAGCGACUCAUACAUUGCCAAAUCGUCCUCGUUGCCAGGCUACGGCAGAAAUGGACUAAACAGGCCUGGGAGUGCGAGUGCAGAUUAUUACCAGUAUGACAGCAGCAAUGCAGUUAAUUGGCAGAUCAGAGAGUACAAGGUAAGAUGCUCUUGCCAAAGCUAGACAACUGUUACUGAGCCAAGAGUGGAAAGUCUGGAUCAAUAGAUAACAGAUAAGGAUGAUGUGUUGCCCUUUUAAAGUUCAUAUUGAAUGGUGAAUUCAUCUCACUCAGUGACACCCACAUGUGAAGAUGACUGACUCAUUUUAUUGACAGCAAAGUAAAAAAAAACAUUUACAGGAUUCUGAAAACAAGUUCAGCAGCUUCAUUGGAAUUUUGUGGAAAUGGUAGUUACACUACAUCUCAUAUUAUUAUUCUUCCUUUAAGAAUAAUGGGAAUGGGUUGUAAGGAAUGCUUGAACACACUUCUUUUAUCAGUCCAACAACUGAUUUACAAACCAAAAUAUAGAUUCAAACAUUCAAGGGUCAGCAGACUUUAAAUUUGUCAAACAUUAAAUGUAAUUUUUUUGUCAUUUUGUGAGUGAUUGGAAACAGUUGGGAACAAUUCUUCAUCACUUUGAGGUCGAAACUCUGAAAAAAUAAACACUGAUUUUUCUCCUCUGUUAAUUAAGAAGAAAAACAAGUGCCGUGUCAGCACAAAAAUCGGAUAUUUCCUAAUCUUUCCCUCAGUGGGAGACUUAUAUCUGCAUGAAUAAUUACACUAAACCAAACAGAGACUUAAUCAAUUUUUCUAAUUUAUUUUAACCAAUAGCAGCAUUGUUGUCGGUGCUGCUCUCGGCCACUAGAGGGUGACAGAGGUAAUGAAACUCAGUCUGCCUGUUUUUAUGGUGCUGAAACAUUUAAUACAAGUUGAUUGGGACUUUUUUAGUGGUGCAUGUGAAUCAUGUUGUGAAUAAACUUCCUUGGUAAACAAUUUAUGACAUGCACAAAUCAAUAAUGACAUCACAAGUGAAAGUCCCUCAAAGGAGCAUCUGAUUGCAAGUAAAUUUACAGUUUCAGUGUUCAGGGAAACAUGCUUAGUCUUUGAAAUGUAAUUCAUAUGUUGGCCAAAGCCUCAAUGGUGCAUUUUGUUGCAGGAAGUUGAUUAUAUUUAUGUCUCUGUGUGUAUUAGAUCUACCCAUAUGAAGCCCUAAUAGUAUCAGUCAGAGGACAGCAACGUCUUCCAAGUGAUGUGGACCGAGCCAGACUGGAGCGUCACCUCUCACCAGAGGAGUUCCACAGAGUCUUUGGCAUGUCCAUGUCUGCCUUUGAUCAUCUCGCUCAGUGGAAGAAGAACGAACUGAAGAAACAGGUCCGACUCUUCUGAGAAAAUGAAGCAACAACCAUCUAACCCAAUGCAGGUCCGCCGCCAACAGUGUGCUCUGAAACGUAGCCUCCACAGAGGCCUGCUAACUCUGACUGAUUCUGUAUCUCAGUGGAAGAGGAACUGGCAGGAAUGAAACUCUUUCCUCCUGUUAGGUGGCAAAGCAGAGUUGUUGGCCUCCUGAUCUUUUGUGUACUUGGACUUGUUAAGCGUUAUGUAUGAAGCCAUCCAAAAAAACCUGGAAGGAGAGGAAGGAGAACUGGAAGGAGAUCAUGAAGACUUUGAGAGGCAGCAGAUGAGCCACGUCCGGGCUACAACAGACAGAAAGCUAAUCAGUUGAGGGAGUUGGCUGCUUCCCUGUCUCCUACCAGCAGAUGGCAGUGUGGUAACAAGAGCACCAGGGUGGCAGUCAGAUACAUGACCAGGACAGGUGGACUGUAAGCUAAAGUACUGAGGGUCAGCCACACUGCGCCAAACUUGAAUUCAUACUGAAAAUUAAGGAGACAGUUUGGGAAGUAAAUUGGCUGCCUGGAAGACAGACUGGCAUAUUGUUGGAGGUAAAAUGGAUCCAGUUUUAAUCACACAGACACUAUCAUCAUCUGAAACUUAUAAACUGAUGAGAAUAGUGUGACUCUCAUUAACAUUAGGGUUACUAAACAUGACACACACUUUUUUUUAAUAUUGUGCAAAUACUGAAACCCAAAGUUUCUUUUUAUAAUACUGGCAUGUAAUUAUUAUUUUGAUGUCAGGUUUUCUGAAGCCAUAUCAGUGUUUAGAGUUAUGACACGAGCAGACUGUACAGGUCACUGAAGUGGUUUUUGAGAUAUGAUGUGAUCGUAAGGUUUAUUGUGGAUGGACUGUGUCAUAGAAAUCAGGUUUUAGAACUACACACACUUCAAAAUAAGAUCUCUGUGUUUUGCUUUUUUUUAUUUUAAGAAAUCCACAUUUUUGUCAAUUCAUACUUGCAGCUGAACUCGUGAGUCAGCUCAGAAUUUUAGCUGCUGGAUUACAAUUAAACCACACUGAGUCAUGUUCAUGUGUGUGUGAUUACAGCAGAUGACGAACGGAGGUUUUUGUGGAUGAUUAUUCAGACCCUCUGAGUAAAGAGAAAAAACAAUGCUCAAAUGAAGGAAGGAAAUAUGAAGAGGUGAGGGAAUGAAGGAUGGAGAAAAGGAGGAAGUAACAUGAAGGAAUGUGUGAUGAGGUAACAUACUGUGGAAAGAUGCAAAAAGUAAAGAAGCAGUGACAAAGAAAGUUUUACCAAGAGGCUGCAAGUGUCACAUAAGUAAAUUGUAAAGAAAGGAUUUGAGUUUGAGAUUAAUAAGGUGUGAGCUGAAACUAGUUUGAUGGGAAGAGAAGGUGUAGGAUAGUUUGAACUGAAAAGAUUAGAUAAUGCUCUUUGUUACAGGAACUGAAGGUGUGUGUGAAUAUGUGUGUGGGGUUAUGGAUCUUCAACGAUACAGCAAAGCACAUUUACCACAUUAGAUGUGUUUAACUUAUUCUUUAUUUAUCGGAGUACCAUUUUUAAUUUGCAAAGUCUUGUCUGUUAAUACAACUUUGGAAUAAAUGA
Epinephelus fuscoguttatus (brown-marbled grouper) is the source of this 5077-nucleotide RNA transcript. It is a transcript of the gene named actin-binding LIM protein 3-like, with no coding region annotated. NCBI's taxonomy places the organism in Eukaryota, Metazoa, Chordata, Actinopteri, Perciformes, Serranidae. The transcript has 21 exons. The record is from RefSeq and is a predicted model, not a curated record.